UAAGUUCUCAGUAAAGAGCGUAUUUUCACAAUAAUCGCUCCUGUAGCAUACCUGUAUUUUUUGCUCUAAACGCGACUUUACCAACUCCAAGUUAAACUGAGAGGACUUUGGAGCAGACGUCUAAAUUUGUUAUAAACCAUUUUUAAAAAACCAACAUACUUGUAUGUAUUUAGAGAAUCGUUUAGCAACUAGGGAACCAGCCAAUUGAAGUCCAGUUCUAACA
Schizosaccharomyces pombe (fission yeast) is the source of this 223-nucleotide non-coding RNA. The record is from the annotation of a GenBank genome assembly. NCBI's taxonomy places the organism in Eukaryota, Fungi, Ascomycota, Schizosaccharomycetes, Schizosaccharomycetales, Schizosaccharomycetaceae.